Molecule: ribosomal RNA, 443 nt
Filed under: uncultured bacterium
Lineage: Bacteria
Description: partial 16S ribosomal RNA
Rfam family: Bacterial small subunit ribosomal RNA
Source: RNAcentral
CCUACGGGUGACUGCAGUGGGGAAUAUUGGGCAAUGGGCGCAAGCCUGACCCAGCAACGCCGCGUGAAGGAAGAAGGCCCUCGGGUUGUAAACUUCUUUUAUUCGGGACGAAACAAAUGCCGGUACCGAAUGAAUAACCCACGGCUACCUACGUCCCACCAGCCGCGGAAAUACGUAGGUGCCAAGCGUUAUCCGGAUUUAUUGGGUGUAAAGGGCGUGUAGGCGGGAGAGCAAGUCAGACGUGAAAUUCCAGGGGCCAACCCUGGAACUGCGUUUGAAACUGUUCUUCUUGAGUGAUGGAGAGGCAGGCGGAAUUCCGUGUGUAGCGGUGAAAUGCGUAGAUAGACGGAGGAACACCAGUGGCGAAGGCGGCCUGCUGGACAGUAACUGACGCUGAGGCGCGAAAGCGUGGGGAGCAAACAGGAUUAGAUACCCCUGUAGUC